Molecule: ribosomal RNA, 268 nt
Filed under: uncultured Rhodocyclaceae bacterium
Lineage: Bacteria; Pseudomonadati; Pseudomonadota; Betaproteobacteria; Rhodocyclales; Rhodocyclaceae
Description: partial 16S ribosomal RNA
Rfam family: Bacterial small subunit ribosomal RNA
Source: RNAcentral
AAUUGCCAUCAUUUGGUUGGGCACUUUAACGAGACUGCCGGUGACAAACCGGAGGAAGGUGGGGAUGACGUCAAGUCCUCAUGGCCCUUAUGGGUAGGGCUUCACACGUCAUACAAUGGUCGGUACAAAGGGUUGCCAAGCCGCGAGGUGGAGCCAAUCCCAGAAAGCCGAUCGUAGUCCGGAUCGUAGUCUGCAACUCGACUGCGUGAAGUCGGAAUCGCUAGUAAUCGUGGAUCAGCAUGUCACGGUGAAUACGUUCCCGGGUCUU